RNAcentral lists this ribosomal RNA (427 nucleotides) under uncultured Solirubrobacter sp. RNAcentral describes it as "bacterial SSU rRNA". It matches the Rfam family "Bacterial small subunit ribosomal RNA", at positions 355 to 774 of the family's 1533-position model. Lineage: Bacteria; Bacillati; Actinomycetota; Thermoleophilia; Solirubrobacterales; Solirubrobacteraceae. The record is from RNAcentral.
UGGGGAAUCUUGCGCAAUGCGCGAAAGCGUGACGCAGCAACGCCGCGUGGGGGAAGAAGGCCUUCGGGUUGUAAACCCCUUUCAGUUGGGACGAAGCUUCGAGGGUUAAUAGCCCUCUGGAGUGACGGUACCUUCAGAAGAAGCCCCGGCUAACUACGUGCCAGCAGCCGCGGUAAUACGUAGGGGGCUAGCGUUGUCCGGAAUCAUUGGGCGUAAAGCGCGUGUAGGCGGUCCGGUAAGUCCGCUGUGAAAGUCGGGGGCUCAACCCUCGGAUGCCGGUGGAUACUGUCGGGCUUGAGUACGGAAGAGGCGAGUGGAAUUCCUGGUGUAGCGGUGAAAUGCGCAGAUAUCAGGAGGAACACCAAUUGCGAAGGCAGCUCGCUGGGACGUUACUGACGCUGAGACGCGAAAGCGUGGGGAGCAAACA